CUAAAUAUAAGCAAGCACAUAUCAUUUGAACUAAAGAGAUAGAUUCAUUAACCAAGAUAGUUUAAGUCAAUUUAGUUUAGAUUCUAUUUGCUUAAGAUAAUUAUCAAUAAGAUAUGUUAACUAUGUUUUAAUCAAUUUAUCUUAAACAUUUAUUUCUAUCAAAAUUCAGAUUAUGAUUUAUUUGUCAUCAAUAAAAUAUGAUUAAUUAAAGUUAGAUUGAAGUCUUGCACAAGGUCACAUAAUGAGAAUACAAUCUGGUCUACUAGCUGUAUGAUAAAAUAAUUAUUCUAUCAUGCUUCAAUACAGCUUUAAAACAAUAGAUCUACUUUGCUCAUCCUUUUCAAAUUCUACAAGAUGGGGUCAUAGACAUACCUUCUUCAUGCCAAUCUUCUAUAAGAGUUUUCUUGUGGACUAACUUUGGUCAAUGAAGAUCCCCUUUCUUGUUUGUCUUAAUUUGGAGUUUGAGAGAAGAUGUUAAUUCAUUCAUCAUACAUAUUUCAAACUCACCUUGCAUAAGCUUAGUAAAAUCUUCAUAUAAAUCUUCAUUAGUAGAACCAAAAAUGAUGUCAUCAAUGUAUACUUUG
RNAcentral lists this long non-coding RNA (584 nucleotides) under Phoenix dactylifera (date palm). RNAcentral's name for it is "long non-coding RNA (PDAC_LNC019791)". Lineage: Eukaryota; Viridiplantae; Streptophyta; Magnoliopsida; Arecales; Arecaceae. The record is from RNAcentral.